RNAcentral lists this small RNA (104 nucleotides) under Arabidopsis thaliana (thale cress). RNAcentral describes it as "ATSL201780". The record is from RNAcentral. Lineage: Eukaryota; Viridiplantae; Streptophyta; Magnoliopsida; Brassicales; Brassicaceae.
AUUGCAGAACUUGUAUUCCAUGAUCCCUAGCCUUUUAGCUGUAGAGAGAGGCAUAAGGCUAACAUAUGCUCCCAAAUCACAAAGGCACCUAUUGAAUGUCAAUG